RNAcentral lists this ribosomal RNA (300 nucleotides) under Triticum aestivum (bread wheat). RNAcentral's name for it is "partial small subunit ribosomal RNA". Lineage: Eukaryota; Viridiplantae; Streptophyta; Magnoliopsida; Poales; Poaceae. The record is from RNAcentral.
AUGGACAGUCGUGGAAAGGAUGCCACUAUCAUUCUUGAGGCCAUUGCCGAUCGAGAAACAUGGAUUCUGCAUUCAUAUUUUGGGAUGCCUGGAUCUUGCAAUGACAUCGACGUGCCCGAUCGGUCACCUAUUUUUGCCAAGUUAGCAAAUGAAGAAGCACCACCGGUGACCUUCGACGCAAAUGACUGCACAUACAACUACGAGUACUAUCUUGCGGAUGGGAUCUACAUGCUAAAAGCAAUAGGACCAAAGUGUGCACUCAAGAUAAAAGAUAAAAAUAUUAAAGAGGGUAGCAUGUAA